This 388-nucleotide transfer-messenger RNA is filed under the name Patescibacteria group. RNAcentral describes it as "GWC2-37-13 sp000991135 Standard tmRNA". It matches the Rfam family "transfer-messenger RNA". From Rfam's summary of the family: Bacterial tmRNA, also known as 10Sa RNA or SsrA, is named for its dual tRNA and mRNA-like properties. Its role is to liberate the mRNA from a stalled ribosome. To accomplish this part of the tmRNA is used as a reading frame that ends in a translation stop signal. The record is from RNAcentral.
GGGGAUGCAAGGCAUCGACGGGAAAUUCGCACUUUUAUAGAUCGUUGGGGCGCACCUGUUGCGUUAAACGGAAACAAUAACUGAUAAGCAAUUGUCAGAUUUCCGAGAAGCGAUGUUGGCUAGGUCAUAUGCAAAUAUGAACUUUGCCUACGUUAACUAAUCGGGCUCUCUUUAGAUUUCUUCCGAUUCAAUCUAUAUGAGGGAUAAACCAAUCGGAAUAAGGCUCUUGAAAGUAACUGAUUGUAUCUUGAGUCGACAACCCUAAUCAGCUGUUUGUUACGAUUUGAUUAUUUAAGCGGGCAAACAAGAGUAAAAAUAAUCUAACCCCAACUAAAAAUCUAUAUGAGUGUUUUCUCGGACGCGGGUUCAACUCCCGCCAUCUCCACCA